CGCCUCUUGAUAAAUUAUAAGAGGUCCAGCCUGCCCAGUGAAAAAUUUAACGGCCGCGGUACCCUGACCGUGCGAAGGUAGCAUAAUCACUUGUUCUUUAAAUAAGGACUAGUAUCAACGGCAUCACGAGGGUUACACUGUCUCCUUUCUCCAAUCAGUGAAACUGAUCUUCCCGUGAAGAAGCGGGAAUAUAACCAUAAGACGAGAAGACCCCAUGGAGCUUUAAAUUUUAUAGCAACUCAGUCAAAUAAACCCUUAUAAUCCACAGAGCCAUGCAUGCCAAUUUUAGGUUGGGGUGACCGCGGAGUAAAAAUUAACCUCCACGACGAAAAGAACUAGAUCUUUAUCUAAGAGCUACAGCUCUAAGAAUUAGUAUACUAACGACAAUGACCCGAUAAUCGAUCAACGGACUAAGUUACCCUGGGGAUAACAGCGCAAUCUACUUCGAGAGCUCAUAUCGACAAGUAGGCUUACGACCUCGAUGUUGGAUCAGGGUAUCCCAGUGGUGCAGCCGCUACUAAUGGUUCGUUUGUUCAACGAUUAAAACCCU
RNAcentral lists this ribosomal RNA (550 nucleotides) under Zhangixalus duboisi (Dubois' whipping frog). Its description in RNAcentral is "Rhacophorus pingbianensis partial 16S ribosomal RNA". It matches the Rfam family "Bacterial large subunit ribosomal RNA", at positions 1829 to 2597 of the family's 2925-position model. The record is from RNAcentral. Lineage: Eukaryota; Metazoa; Chordata; Amphibia; Anura; Rhacophoridae.